Molecule: ribosomal RNA, 306 nt
Filed under: uncultured Cryptanaerobacter sp.
Lineage: Bacteria; Bacillati; Bacillota; Clostridia; Eubacteriales; Desulfotomaculaceae
Description: bacterial SSU rRNA
Rfam family: Bacterial small subunit ribosomal RNA
Source: RNAcentral
GGUUAAGUCCCGCAACGAGCGCAACCCCUACGUUUAGUUGCUAACGUGUAACGAUGAGCACUCUAGGCGGACUGCCGUGGACAAAACGGAGGAAGGUGGGGAUGACGUCAAAUCAUCAUGCCCCUUAUGUUCUGGGCUACACACGUGCUACAAUGGCCGGUACAAAGGGACGCAAAGCCGCGAGGUGGAGCAAAUCCGAUAAAAGCCGGUCUCAGUUCGGAUUGCAGGCUGCAAUUCGCCUGCAUGAAGUCGGAAUCGCUAGUAAUCGCAGGUCAGCAUACUGCGGUGAAUACGUUCCCGGGCCUU